AAAUUGAUGAAAAUAAUUGGUCCGUGUUUAUGAUUUUAUUUGAUUAGUUUUUUUUUCCAAUUUUCUGAUGAAC
Small nucleolar RNA from Malaya genurostris, 73 nucleotides. RefSeq annotates it as small nucleolar RNA U18. Lineage: Eukaryota; Metazoa; Arthropoda; Insecta; Diptera; Culicidae. The record is from RefSeq and is a predicted model, not a curated record. The transcript has a single exon.